This is a long non-coding RNA of Cydia amplana, 282 nucleotides long. RefSeq lists it as uncharacterized. Lineage: Eukaryota; Metazoa; Arthropoda; Insecta; Lepidoptera; Tortricidae. The record is from RefSeq and is a predicted model, not a curated record. The transcript is spliced from 2 exons.
UUAUUCGAACUUCAAGAUAUUCACAAGAGACGACACGUACUAGAUCCAUUCUAGAUACGUUAUAGUUUAGAUAUCAACUAGUUCUCUUUUGCAGCGCAAUUCGGGCAACCAAUGUCACUUUUACGUUAGAUAGAGUUAGAUAUCUAUUAGAUGUGAAUUGGAUCUCUAAGCCAUAUCUUGUGGAAAUCUAUCUCCAGAAUAGCGCAAAUGUCAAAUUUGACAGGUUAGAUCUUAAACAUAUCGUUAUCGUAUCUUGGUGAUGUCUAAAAGAUAUCUAAUAGA